Molecule: long non-coding RNA, 608 nt
Organism: Musa acuminata AAA Group (dessert banana)
Lineage: Eukaryota; Viridiplantae; Streptophyta; Magnoliopsida; Zingiberales; Musaceae
Exons: 3
Source: RefSeq, a predicted model, not a curated record
GCGGAGGACGAGAGGAACGAAGGAGAGGGGGCAGAAAGGAGGAUCUCGUUGAAGAACUGGAGGAGGGAGGUCGACGAGAACCUGAAUCGACUCCGCUCACUCCUCUUCGCCGCCGAUCUCGCUCUCCAGCGGGACCACAACGCCGCCUCCCGAACCCUUGCCCUCCUCCUCAUCGGCUUCCUCAACUCCCGUACGAGAACCCACACCGACGCGGAUCUCGUCGCCUCCAUUCGGACUGAGGCCGCCUCCCGCGCCCUCGCCUUCGACUCGGAUCGGGGACAGGUAAAACAGUGAUCGGAAAAGCCAUUGCUGGAUAGGCGAAGGCAAAAUUUUUUAACAUACCGGCAAGUUCUUUGACAAGCAAGUGGUUAAAUUGUGGUACGUGAAACAACUUUGCUCGUCAUUUCGUCGACAUUUUGAAUGGUUUUCUGAAGAGAGUGAGCAGGCCAACUAUUCGUUACCUGAUACUAAGAAACCAUGCUUAAGAGAGCAACAGUAUACCAGAAUUUGUUUGCCAAGGUAUGUAUGAUCCAUAAUUUUGAUCUGAUGCUUAUGUAAGAUAUUGUGUAGUUUACUGAAGUAGCAAUUAGAAACACAAUAUAUUUGGU